This 253-nucleotide ribosomal RNA is filed under the name uncultured bacterium. Its description in RNAcentral is "partial 16S ribosomal RNA". It matches the Rfam family "Bacterial small subunit ribosomal RNA", at positions 524 to 776 of the family's 1533-position model. The record is from RNAcentral.
GACAGAGGUGCCGAGCGUUAGGCGGAAUCACUGGGCUUAAAGCGUGUGUAGGCGGAUCGUUAAGUACCUUGUGAAAUCCCACGGCUCAACCGUGGAACUGCUUGGUAUACUGGUUGUCUUGAGCCACUCAGGGGCGAGCGGAACAAAUGGUGGAGCGGUGAAAUGCGUAGAUAUCAUUUGGAACGCCAAUGGUGAAAACAGCUCGCUGGGGGUGUGCUGACGCUGAGACACGAAAGCCAGGGGAGCGAACGGG